GCUACUUGUGAUAUUUGCGGGUGUGGAGAUGAGAAUGAAUUUCAUGCAGUAGUUAGCUACACUAAGAGCAGAGCACUGAGACACAAAAUGAGAGAGGAAUGGGAUUUGCCAGCUGAAAAGCAGUUUUGGAACACUGGAGAGGACUGGCUGCAGGUCCUAUUGAACACGGUUUCAGAGGAUGUGCGUGCAAAUAUUCUGUUGCUGCUUUGGAGAUGUUGGCAUCUGCGGGAUAACUGCGUACAUGGCGACGGCAAA
This 255-nucleotide ribosomal RNA is filed under the name Triticum aestivum (bread wheat). Its description in RNAcentral is "partial small subunit ribosomal RNA". The record is from RNAcentral. Lineage: Eukaryota; Viridiplantae; Streptophyta; Magnoliopsida; Poales; Poaceae.